UACGUAGGGUGCAAGCGUUGUCCGGAAUUAUUGGGCGUAAAGAGCUCGUAGGCGGUUUGUCGCGUCUGCUGUGAAAACCCGAGGCUCAACCUCGGGCCUGCAGUGGGUACGGGCAGACUAGAGUGCGGUAGGGGAGAUUGGAAUUCCUGGUGUAGCGGUGGAAUGCGCAGAUAUCAGGAGGAACACCAAUGGCGAAGGCAGAUCUCUGGGCCGUAACUGACGCUGAGGAGCGAAAGCAUGGGGAGCGAUCAGG
This 253-nucleotide ribosomal RNA is filed under the name uncultured bacterium. RNAcentral's name for it is "partial 16S ribosomal RNA". It matches the Rfam family "Bacterial small subunit ribosomal RNA", at positions 524 to 776 of the family's 1533-position model. The record is from RNAcentral.